Molecule: long non-coding RNA, 798 nt
Filed under: Nicotiana benthamiana
Lineage: Eukaryota; Viridiplantae; Streptophyta; Magnoliopsida; Solanales; Solanaceae
Description: long non-coding RNA (NBEN_LNC019709)
Source: RNAcentral
UAUACUUAAACCACUAAAUACGCUUUUUCUUUCUCUCACCUUUUUUAGAUUUUUCUCUUAUAUAAUUACCGUAUUUCAUAAAAGCUUCUCAAUACACGUUCUUUCUCUUUCUAUUUUGAUACACUCCAAUCUAUUCCCCCAUUCUCUGUGAACACGCAUCAAAACUCCUCUCACGCAAAUCGCUUCCUUCUUCCUCAUUCUCAGUCUGAACCCUAAUUUCAAGCCAUAUGAAGAAUCACGAGGGACGAAGAUGAAGACCAUAUGAAGAUGAAGUACAAGAUUAGUUGUAAUUCGAGCCCAAGAAACCCAAGAACUUUUUGGGAAUUCCAGUUAAAUGAAAUUUUGCAGCAGUUUCCUCUUUAGAAAAUUUUGGUCUCGAUUUGCUUCAAUCAGCGCCCUCUUCUCUUCUGCUUCCCUGUGAAUUACAACCAUAUUGGAGACAGUGAAUUUGAGCCAGAUGAGAUAGUAUGAGGGACAAAGAUCUGCUGAGUUUAUGGUUUCUGCGAUGAAAUUAGUUGUUGGUUCUUGGUUUUUAUGUUGUAUUUCAUUGUAUUCAUUGUCUUUUUUUCAUUGUAAUUUAAUGUAUCUCGCUGUGUUUUCAUGUAUUUCAUUGUAUUCAUUGUCUUUUUUUUUAUUUUAAUCAAUGUAUCUUGUUGCAUUUCAUGUAUUUUAUUGUAUUUACUAUCUUUUUUCAUUGUAUUUCAAUGUAUCCCGCUAUAUUAUAUCCAUUUCAUUGUAUUCACUGUCUUGCUAUAUGCCAUGAAUGUAUUCAUAUUUUUUUAAUAUAAUCAAUAUAUU